GGUGUGGAUUCCGGAAGUGGGGGAUGGGGCCGGAAAUGGGGGAGGGGCCGGAAAUCAAGGGAUCAUAAAUCAUUUAUCAACUCGAUUAAUUAAAAUUUGACAGAAGGUAUCUCAUAUGAGUGUGUUAUGCGGCGAAAAUCCAAACCGUAAGUAAACAGUUUUAACUUAUGAAGACCAAAAGAUCUCAAAUACUUAUCUUUCAGCAGCUCGUACUAACAAACGCAAUGUGUAAUCAAUAAAAAAAGCACCAAAUGUGCUUUGUUAAUUGAUUAAACACAGGACAUUGUUGGAGUUCAGGUGCCAGGGUAAGUAAUCGACUUCUGGAUGUAACAGGUUUUGCUUCUGCAAACAAUCUACAUUCCUCUGGAAAUGACUCCUGUUGAGCACACUGAAAAAUGGUCCUUUCAGCUGCCUGAUACUCUUCAGUGUCAGGUGAAGAUGUUGAGAACACCUGCCCUCAAAGUUCUUUAAUAGUAGAAUACAAGAGCUUGUGAACUGUUGCAUCCUGACAGGUCGGAGUGGAGGUGGUAGCUGUUCCACAGAAGCCAGUCUUUCGGUGCUCAGCUUCAUCAACACAGGGCCCAGAGCCCGGCUCCUCUGGCCCUUUGUCAGGACUGUCGUGCAGAAAGCUAGGCCUGUUAGCCCACCGAUUUGGUACCUUCAGUUCAAUCAGGUUCUUUCACCUCAUCAAGUCAUCCGUUGAAUUACUCCAGAGUUUACAUAGCGCCAGGUACAGUUUUCUGUUAACUCCUGUAUCUCAGCUAUCCUGGCUCCUACAAAAACUUUAUAGCGGCAGGACUGUGAGCUCAACCAGGUGAGGACAGUUGUUGAGUCAGACCAUAAAACUAUCCUUCUGAUAGGUGAGGUAAGUUCUUUCUUCAGGAUGCUGGCCAGCUGGGCUGCUCCACAGAGGUCUAGGCGGGGAAUAGAGAGGGUACAUUUUGGGGCUACACGGGAGUGAGCAAGGAUGAAGGUGAGGUGAACCUGACCGGUGCGGUCUUCAGUACUCAUAUAUGCAAUGGCUCCAUAAGCUUUCUCAGAGGCAUCUGCGAAGAUAUGUACUUCACGGGUAGUCUCUUUUAAGUUGGCAUUAGCAGGUACAUAAGCGCGUGGGAGAGUAAGGUGAUGUAGAAACUGAAGCUCCGUCUCCCAAUCCGACCAAGCUUGAAGGAGUGCAGAUGGGAGGUUUGAGUCAUCCCAACUGUGCUUCUUAUCCCACAGCUGUCUGAGUAGGAGCUUCGCUCGAGUGGUAAAGGGUAACAGAUAUCCCAAAGUGUCAUACUGUGAGGCUAGAACCCUAUAGAUAUUUUGGAGAGUUGGCAUCUCAUAAGACACAGUCCUGUGCUUAUAGCCCAAUGAGUCUGUAUUCCAAAUCCAGUUGAGUCCAAGUGUUGUCUCCAAAGGGUGGGAUUUGUAUUCUGCCAACCACAGAUCCAGGCUUUGUGAUCUAGCUUCAGUAGGCAAAUGGCUCGGAGCACUUGGAUCAUUGCAAGCCCACUGUUGUAACUCAAAGCCGGCAUAUUUUAGCAAAUCUCUCAGGCGGUCCACAAGGGCUUCGGCUUCCUCUGGUGAGGCAACACUCUGUAGGCAGUUAUCCACUUCUCAAUGGAUAAUCCAAGGCUGUCAUCAGGCUGGUUGUGUUCCAUCAUGUGGUGCUGCAAAGCAAAUGUUGCACAGAGGGGACUUGAGAUGGUCCCAAAGGGCAGGACCUGCCACUCAGAUUUUGGGAAUCAUGUCCACCUUGAGAUCCCGCCAUAGGAACUUCAAUAUGAGGCGAUCUUCUGGGAGGAGAAGAACUUGAAUCUGCAAGCCUGUGUACGUGUCACACAGUGGAAAUUUGUUUUAUUGUGAUAGUGUGAUUAUGUAAAUAUGUGUGCAUGAUUUCUCUUUUAUUGCAUGCUUUUACUGUUGUGUUGUUUUGAUCCACUGUGGACUCUGAGAGGACAAAUUACCUGAUGAUGGCCACCUGUGGAGUUGUGGGUGUGCCUGGAAGCAGCCUAUGAGCUGCCAGAACACUUAAAGGGUGAAGAACUCACUACAGGAAGAGAAGGGGAAGCAGGUCAUAACAGCCAGGUGUGGUGGGAGGAGAGACUAAGUGACCGCCAAGUGUAAGCAGACUGAUUAGCACGACGUGGACCAUCUCUGCAGCAGGAACAGAGUGCAAAGGAAAACAAAGCGUUGGAUUGGCAGCGGGGCAGACGUGAAACUCUGCCCGCAUCCGUGAGUAAACGUUUUCCACUGACAUCUGCAGGGUUUUGCCACGUCGGAAGGGUCGCAGCAAAGAUCCGUUGGCUCCACAAACAACGCUUCUGGCCAGCAUGUGUUUGUAUUUGCAGGAGUCCAGUGGCGAGUGAGAGGCGCUUGGGGGCGGACCACAGCAAGGACGCGGUGUGACUGGACCAACCCUGAGACGGCUGUGGGGUGGAACUAAGAACUGACUUUCUUUGUGAACUCUGCGGCUGUGACAAUUAUCCUGGACUGGAAGCCUCCUGUUUUUAGUUGUUUUACUGAUUUAAAAUUAUUUGAAGAAAACAUUUUAUUGUGUUUUUAGCUUUUUAAGAGACUGGUUUUAUGAGAAAUAAAAACCCUCCAUUUCAACCUGAUCUGUUCUCUGUUCCCUGGGUUCUGACUCACUAGCUCCCUCUAAUUGUGAAAGGACCUAUCGUAACACUAAGCUACCAACUUAGUGCUUACAUGCGCAUCCAACUCCAUCAUCAAGUUUGCGGACGACACUACGGUGAUUGGUCUCAUCAGCAACAACGAUGAGACCAUAGAUAUCCAUAAUAAAGGCUAGAUGUCUUACGGCGCAGUCUCCAACGUCAUCACCGGCGGCCAUCUUGCCUCAGGCAAGCUUUCUGGCGUGCUCUGUGGUACCUAAUGUAAGGAAUUUGCUGGGUUUAUUAAAAGGAAGAUGCCAGACUUUUGUGCAGCCUACGGAUGCUCCAAUCGCCGUAGUGUCAAAACGAGAGCCAGUGGGAUCACCUUUCACAUGUUUCCCAAAAACGGAAAGAUGAGGAGGCUGUGGGAACUUGCCCUAAGAAGGGACGGUUUUGUUGCAAAUGACAGGACUCUGCUUUGCAGUGAGCACUUCAGGAGUGAGGAUUUUGACCGAACAGGGCAGACUGUCCGACUUAAAGAUGGUGUUGUGCCAAACAUUUUCAACUUUCCAGCUCAUCUUCAAAAGCUAGUAGCCACAAGAAACACAACCACCUCUAGAAGAGUGGAAGACAACCUGCCAAUGGACUUGUCCCAGGGUGUACCUUAACCUGAUGUUGGAGCCACUGGAGAGAGGGGUUUGAGCUGCAAGCGGCAGGCCACUGACCACUUGUAUGCAUUGCCUGCUUGCCCUAAGGCUAUAAAAGCCAAACUUGAAGAAGCCUCAGCAACCGUGAGGAAACUUCAGCGGGAGAAGAGUAAUGCCUUGAGGAGAGAAAAGAGGGCCAAGAUGAACAUGCGGGCUCUUCUGGAGGAAUUGAAGGAGAAAAAUCUAAUCAAUGAAGAGCUAAGAGACAACCUUGAAUGCUAUUUAGAUCUUCCAGUUCAUCUCCUGUCGAGGCAGGGCGUAGAGUACACCAAGGCCCAGAGAGAUUUUGCACUUACGCUCCAUCUGCAUGGUCCAAAGGCCUAUCACUACCUGAGAGAUACCCUGCAUAUUCACCUGCCACACCCCAGUUCGUUGCAAAGUGUCUACAUUUGGGAUGCUUGUGUUGGUGGUUAAAUGUCUACUUUUUAAUUGAGAACUCAGCCACUCAGGUGGCUGAGUUCUCUUGAUGCCAGACCUGGUCUCAAUAAAAUGAUGUUGGACAUGCUGGAAAGACGGCGUCAGGAAGAUGAGGUCAAGUACGGAUGUGUCACUCUGAUGCUGGAUGCCAUGUCCAUCAAAAAUCACAUCCAGUAUGACCCUCAGACACAAACAAUGUUUGAAUAUGUGGACAUGGGGGAUCGAUUGAAUGAGACUGACAUGGCUUCCGAAGUUCUUGUGUUCAUGGUGGUUGGGCUUCAAGGUUAUUGGAAAGCUCCGAUUGCAUAUUAUUUAACCAAGUCCCUCACACCACAAUCACAGACAGUCUUAGUACAGCAUGCAUUGGAAGAGUUGCAUCGUCGUCGGAUAAGAGUGGUGUGCAUGACAAUGGAUGGACAUGCAUCCAAUGUCAGUAUGUGCACUCAACUUGGGUGCGAUCUAAAAGCAGACCCCUGUGAGCCAUUGAAGACCCAUUUUCCACAUCCAGUAACCAAUGACAAUGUUUUUGUUAUGAUGGACGCUUGCCACAUGCUGAAGCUGACACGCAAUAUGUUGCAGGUACAUGCUCAUUGUUUCAAAUAUCUGCUCUGAUCGAGUCUCUCUGCUUUUUAUACAUUUUGAUUGUAUUUACAUAAUUGUGCAGAAUAUAGUGCUUUACAAAAAAAUCUGAUUCUGCAGGCAUACGGCCCCAUUGGAAGCAUAAAUGGCAGUAUCAAUUGGAAGUACAUAGUCCAUCUGAACAAUGUCCAAAAGAACUAGACUACAUGCUGCCAAUAGAGUCACAGAUAAGCAUGUGAACUUUUCUAAUCAGAAGAUGAAGGUCUCCCUGGCUGCUCAGACUUUGAGUAGCUCUGUAGCAGUGGCGCUCUGCACAUUGCAGGAGGUGGGCUAUGCAGAGUUCAAAGAUUGUGAGGCUACUGCAGAAUUCAUAAAGGUAAUGCAGCAAGGGAUUUGCAUUGUUGACCAAAAUCAUAUUCAACAUUUGAGUGAAUUAUUGCUUUAACCCAUUUAAUCCUUUAACUCUCACCUUCCAUUUGUGGUUUGUCUGUAGGUGAUAUUUAAAAUGUGAAUGUCACCAGAAUUAACCCUGUAUCUUUUUUAUUUUAUUUUUUUUCUCAAUUUAGGCAUCAAAAACAAUUAAAUAAUUAAUGACCAUCCUCAAAUUCAACAAUAUGCAAGAAGUUGGAUAAAACUCUUUAUUCCUACCUCAUACUUACAUCAAAAGCCCCCUUAUUGCCACAUCUCAGAUUUACAGGUUUAAAGCAGUGCAGUAAUUUAUUAAAAAAAUGCAUAGCCACAGAGGAAAUUGAGAGAAAUCAUACUAUGCCUUAUAGUUUGGUGUUUACUAUCUGAUACUUGUUGACACUCAGUUACAGUGAUAUUUUUUAGUGCUUCUAGUAAAUUUUGAUAUUUGUUUAUAGAUAACAGACAGGCUGUUUGACAUCUUGAACAGUCGCAAUCCCAGAGGCAAAGGCUUCAAAGCCCCCCUCAGUUCUACGAAUUGGACAAGCACCAGGGAGUUCUUGUCAAAAGCCAGGGGAUACUUGCUCACUUUGAAGAUGGAAGAUGGCAAACCCCUUUACCGAACAAAGAGGUCUUUUAAAAUAGUGACUGUUGUAUUGAUGAUGCACUGACACCAUUUGUAGUCGCCAAUACCCAGUACAAAUCCUUUUAUCAUAAUUAAAUGAUCAGAAUGAGACUGCUGAUUUAGAAAAUAUGGGUUUAUUAUAUUCUGUUAGAUUUAUACAAGUAGUCAUAUUAAAAGUCAUUAAAUUAUCCAAGGUAAUACUCCACUGGUUUCAGUGCAUCCCUCAAGUCCAUGAGUUAAUGAGAUGCUUUGUUCUCUUAUUUAUCUAUCUGCUGCAUCGAGUUCAGAUGCUCUGUCCUCCUGUUUGCAUCGAGUUCAUGAGAUGCUCUGUCCUCCUGUUUGCAUCGUGUUCAUGAGAUGCUCUUUUCGGUCUGCGUCAAGUUCAUAAAGUGGUUCCUCUCUGUCCUUGGCUUCAUCAUAAACAUUGACACCUUGAUGUUGAUGGUUCCUGCGCUGCUUGAAGGACAACGAUAUGUCCUGACUUAUAGGUUCAGCUAGGACCACUUGGAGCUUCUCUUCAACUCCAUCAGAGCAUCGGGGGGCUGGAAUAACAAUCCUAAUGCCAGCCAGUUCAAGUACAUUUUCAGGAAGCUGAUGGCCCGGUGUGGGGUUGUCAAAUCAUGCAGAGGCAAUGUGACUGCACAGGAUGACACAGAGUCCCUACCAGCUGUCAUUGACACCUCUACUAGCCUGUCAGCUGUAGAUAUGUCCUCUGCAGCAGGCGGAGAAGAUCUUCCAUCCCCGUUUGCUGACAUUCCUGCACUAGUACAUGACCACAGCUACCUUCCUGUCCGCUUUAAUGGUCUUGUGGACAACGCUCUCGUGUACAUUUCAGGAUUUGUUGUGCGACGGGCUCUGAAAAAGCUGUCCUGUGAUGUCUGCCGUGCCAGCUUGGUAACAGAUGCUGCAUCUGCCAUCAAGGACCAGAGCUACCACCUGCUGAAGUUGAAAAACAACGGAGGUCUGGUGAUUCCAUCAGAAGGCACAGUGAUGAUAGUCAGGGCAGCAGAGUGGGUCAUUCGUCAGACCUCAUGUACCAGACGAUCACAGCCCAUCAAAGAGCUAGAGGUCAUGUACAUUGUACGGAAGAGGAUAGGGUCAGAGGAUGUGUUUGUGCUCAGAGAGCACAUCGGAGAAACACAGUAUGGCAUAGACAGCCACCACCAUACGCUGUUAACGUUGGUUGUGUCCUUGUUUUUUAAGUUAAGGCUGCACCACAUUGCCAAAAUAACUAAUCUUAGCUUACAGAGCAACAACAUGCGACAGAAACUCAAUAAAAGCGUCCUUUUCAAAGGGCAUUAGCCAAACUAUGUUUUUUGGGUCAUUUUUUAAAUCUCUGUCUUCCAUGUGUAUACCAUCACAGUAGUGUAGGUGGGGAUUUCAACUUGCUACAUCUAUAUAUAUAUACUUGUGAAGGGGACUAUUGUACCAAUUUUAAUAGCAAAUAAAUGUCACUUUUAUAAUGGUUUAAAAAUAGGAACUUUUGUGAAAUUACCCCUGAUAUAUAAUUCGAAUAGUCUACAUGAAACUUCAAAGUGUUACCUUUAAUUUGAAACCUGGAUUAUGCUUCUACACCAAGAGGUUGCCACACAAUAAGCUUUUUUUGUCAGUAUUUCAUAUUUUAUUAUAACAGUAAUAUUCAUAUUAAAAGUAUGUAUGUAAAUAUAAAUAAAUUAGGACUGUGAAAUAAUUAAUCACACCCAAAUAAGUGUUUAAUGUUGCCACUCUGUAUACUGAGUUUUAAUAGCAUAUAUUGAUUUAACAUAAAUACCUUGUGCAUGUGUAUAUUUAUUGCACCUGUAAGUUUUAUUCAAUGUUCUUUUCAUUCCAUGGUUUUAAUUAUUCAUGAGUGUGCGGUGUGAUAACUACAUGUCUUACUUUUGUUUAACAAACCAAACAGUUUGAGAAUCGUUAGACAAUUGAAGAAGUUAUGGUUAUUUAAGUAUACAUGCGCCAUUGAAACACAAUGUUACGAAUGAGCGAGCUGCCUGUGGCAAGAUGGCCGCCACGUGCAGAUGUCGACCCCCAUUGGCCAGCAGCGCGGACGAGACAUCUAGCCUUUAUUAUGAAUAUCUAUGGAUGAGACAGCCUACAGGGAGGAGAUCAAGCACCUGGCCACAUGGUGCACUGAAAAUAACCAGCCCCUCAACACCACCAAAACAAAGGAGCUCAUCGUGGACUUAAGAAAAGAUUCAAGAGGCACGCACGACCAUAGACAUAAUAUAAGAGUAGACGCGUCAUUGGGCGGGUUCUGCCUAUGCUGCGAUGCGUCAGAGC
Fundulus heteroclitus (mummichog) is the source of this 7607-nucleotide long non-coding RNA. RefSeq lists it as uncharacterized. The transcript is spliced from 11 exons. The record is from RefSeq and is a predicted model, not a curated record. NCBI's taxonomy places the organism in Eukaryota, Metazoa, Chordata, Actinopteri, Cyprinodontiformes, Fundulidae.